RNAcentral lists this long non-coding RNA (1266 nucleotides) under Nicotiana benthamiana. Its description in RNAcentral is "long non-coding RNA (NBEN_LNC004285)". Lineage: Eukaryota; Viridiplantae; Streptophyta; Magnoliopsida; Solanales; Solanaceae. The record is from RNAcentral.
CCAUUUUCAAUUUUGGUGAUAGACCCUCUUGCAGAAGCAAAUUCAAUUAUGUCAGAAGCACAUUCAGAAUCCAUUCUUGCCAACCCAAGUAGCCUUGUGAGCUCUUCAUAACCCGGAUGUUGGCUUAGCUUACUUUGAGGUCCAGCUCUCUUAUCAUGCUUCUCAGUAAAGCCAGACACAGUAGGAACUAUUCUGGAAGAAGGAUCCUGAAGAAAUUCCAUAGAAAAUACCUCACUAGUCUGUACAGGUAUAUGGUUAUCUACAUUAUUGUGUAAAGAUAUGCCAUCACUCAAGAUAAGUGGCUGCACUAGUCUGUACAGGUAUAUGGUUAUUUACAUUAUUGUGCAAAGAUAUGUCAUCACUCAAGAUAAGUGGCUGAGAUGAUUCUUGCUGGAUCCAUGGACCAGAAGGGCCAGCCACCCCGGCGGUCAUAGUUUCAGUUAAAUCUUUGGAUGAAUUUAGCAUCAGAAGUCACCUGAACAUGAAACAGGCAAGAAUGCUUUACACUCUCUACAGAAAACUAAUUAGAUUUCAUUAACUUCUUCGCUGAAGUAAACAGAAAUACCAACUACAAAUUUUUCACACCACCAACUACCACUUCAUAGAAAAAUAUAGCAAAAAAGACGUUACUACUCUCCCACUUACACACUGAAAUCCUUCUUCUUCCUCCUUUUCUCUCUUUUUUUUUUCUACUGAUAAAUGAAGUAUUUCACACUAAAUAUAACAAUCCCUCCACAAUAUAUGCACACAGAAAAUAGCAAUCCUUGCUGCACAGCAACCACUCCGCAUUAAAAUUGAAAAAAAAAAUUUAACAGUAAAACAAUCGGACGAAUUUGCCUUUUCCUUCAAUAACUCUCCUCUUGAUCAUCAAAUAAUCAAUCUGAAAAUUAUAUUUCCAGUAAUGAUUCAAUAGAAAAUCAAAAGUAAGAGAUAAAACAUAAACUAACAGACCAAUCAGAAAAGAUAAAAAAUCAAAAAAACUAUAAUCUAAUUAUGCGAUGCGAAAUUCGGAUAUAGAAACUGUUACUGGUCAGAUACCCGUGCAUAAAAGCUAUAAUUCAACAAUCGGAUUAUGAAAACCUAGAAAUCAAAAGAAAAAGGUAGAUACAUACUUGUAUAAUCACUUCACUCGUCUAGCUGAAGCCCAUAGCUCACUGAAACGCAUGAAUUUGAAAAGGUGGGGGAAAUGAAUUAAGGGUUUAAUCAAUUGAAUUUAACAGAUCAAAUGAGAAAAAUUAGGAAAGUGUGAGAGAGAGUGACUUACGC